AAUUGUCGAGUUGUCUGUUUUAAGGUUCGACUGUUCUUUUGGGAUGUUUUUAUUGAGUGUGCUGUCAGGCACAAUUGUGUGGGAGUCAAUAAUGGGGCUGUCAGAGUAAUUCACUGCAGCCAACAGCAUUAGAUUUGUGUAGGGAUUUAAAAAAAAAAAAAUUGGGGGUUUGAACACAAUUUUUAAAAAGUGCUUAAAUUUAAUCCUAAAGAAAUGUUUCUAUACAUGCUGCAGUCCACGUGUUUUUUAUUUACUAUUUUUUUUUAUAUUCUGUUUCAGUAUUUAGUAGACUUUGUUUUGUGAAUAGCAAUGGUUUUGUGUCUGAGUUGUCAUGUUUUGAGUUUUGCCAAAACUUACUGCUUAUUAGAGAUGCCGAGCAUCCAACCAGGAGCAUGAUUUUGGUUCAAAAAUAUUAUUAUUCAUAGUAGUAGUAUAAUAUCAAUCCCAUGAGCUCUUUCACACCCAUUCAUCAAAAACUCCUUUGUAAGCCUGGGAAAAUUAUUGUUUUGACUUCAGUCACAGAGCUUUCAUUUACAGUGUUGUAGAAAUGAUCUUAACACAUGCAUGUGUGUCUUAGUAGCCUGCGUGAGACUAGCUCGGGUUGGCAUCUCUGGCGUUGUGUAAAGGCAGGCAUCCUGCCCUUCCUCAGAGGAGCCGCACUGUUCUUCCACCAUCUCAAUGGAGUUCCCACUUUGCCUGAGCUUGACGGUGGUGCUCACAUCCAGGCAUGCAACAAUGUCUCCAGUCACCUGAAACCCUUAUAAGUUUUCCUCGGGAAUCCAAUAAUCUAAUUGAUUUACCAGAGGAUUACUGUGCACUGAUCAACUAGGCUUUCAGCUUCACCUGCUGCCAGACUGAGCUGGAGGGUGAGGACGUUGAAGCGUGUACUGCACACACCUUUGUUUGCUGAGCUGGUGUUAGCAUCUUCCUCAGGGUGAGGGAGAAUCAGGUUCUUUUCCUGUACCUCGAUGACUACGGAGAACUGUCCAAGGG
This is a long non-coding RNA of Ictalurus punctatus (channel catfish), 993 nucleotides long. RefSeq lists it as uncharacterized. The transcript has 5 exons. The record is from RefSeq and is a predicted model, not a curated record. NCBI's taxonomy places the organism in Eukaryota, Metazoa, Chordata, Actinopteri, Siluriformes, Ictaluridae.